This 497-nucleotide ribosomal RNA is filed under the name uncultured bacterium. Its description in RNAcentral is "partial 16S ribosomal RNA". It matches the Rfam family "Bacterial small subunit ribosomal RNA", at positions 28 to 507 of the family's 1533-position model. The record is from RNAcentral.
GAUGAACGCUGGCGGCGUGCCUAAUACAUGCAAGUCGAGCGAACAGACGAGGAGCUUGCUCCUCUGACGUUAGCGGCGGACGUGUGAGUAACACGUGGAUAACCUACCUAUAAGACUGGGAUAACUUCGGGAAACCGGAGCUAAUACCGGAUAAUAUAUUGAACCGCAUGGUUCAAUAGUGAAAGACGAUUUUGCUGUCACUUAUAGAUGGAUCCGCGCAGCAUUAGCUGGUUGGUAAGGUAACGGCUUACCAAGGCAACGAUGCGUAGCCGACCUGAGAGGUGGAUCGGCCACACUGGAACUGAGCCACGGUCCAGACUCCUACGGGAGGAAGCAGUAGGGAAUCUUCCGCAUUGGGCGAAAGCCUGACGGGGCAACGCCGCGUGAGUGAUGAAGGUCUUCGGUUCGUAAAACUCUGUUAUUGAGGAAGAACAAAUGUGUAAGUAACUAUGCACGUCUUGACGGUACCUAAUCAGAAAGCCACGGCUAACUACGUG